AGUUUAUCCUGGCUCAGAAUCAACGCUGCCGGCGUCCUCAGACAUGCAAGUCGAACGCGAAAGUCCCUUUCGGGGACAAGUAGAGUGGCGCACGGGUAGUAACACGUAGGUAUCUACCUUUGGGUGGGGAAUAACAGCCGGAAACGGGCUGCUAAUACCGCAUAAUGCAGCGGGCUCGACAUCGAGACAGUUGUUAAAGCGGGGGAUCGUAAGACCUCGCGCCUAAAGAGGAGCCUGCGGCAGAUUAGCUUGUUGGUAAGGUAACGGCUUACCAAGGCGACGAUCUGUAGCCGGCCUGAGAGGGCGGUCGGCCACACUGACACUGACAUACGGGUCAGACUCCUACGGGAGGCAGCAGUCGGGAAUUUUGGGCAAUGGGCGAAAGCCUGACCCAGCAACGCCGCGUGAAGGAUGAAAUCCCUCGGGAUGUAAACUUCGCAAGAAUGGGAAGAAUAAGUAGAAGCAUAAUACCUUCUA
RNAcentral lists this ribosomal RNA (477 nucleotides) under uncultured bacterium. Its description in RNAcentral is "bacterial SSU rRNA". It matches the Rfam family "Bacterial small subunit ribosomal RNA", at positions 10 to 475 of the family's 1533-position model. The record is from RNAcentral.